ACCGUGCAAGAUUUACUUUGAUACCAUGUAAUAGUGUAACGUCUUCCCGAUCUUGAAAUAAUCACCUGACCGAACGUAUACAAUUAUACAAAUGCAUGUUUAGAUUUUCAAAUCUAGAAAAAUGACUGGAAAAAUAAUUUAUGAUAAAAUAGUAUAUCUAAACUUUUUGUACAGGAUGUAUAGAUAUAGAUAAUAGAAUAAUUUUAGGUGGGGUGAGUGUGUCACAAUACAAUAUGUCUUUUCAUCCUAUGUAAUUUAAAGAUAAUGAAAUGGUAAUGCAAAGGGUAAAACCUUUAAAUAAUAAUACCUUUAACUAAAUUCACAUUAGAUAAUAAUAAAUGAGAUUUGAUUAGAUAUAACAUCUCACGAGAAUCACAUAAUAAUACCUUUAAAUAAUAUAUUAGAAUCAAAUAAUAUAUCCCUGGUUAUAUUAUGGUAAAAUUAAAUGAAAAUUAUAUAUACAUUCAUAAUAGGACAUUGAACUUUAAAGAUUUGCAUUUAUCACUCAUUUAAAUACACUAUCACAAAAUUUGAAACAAUAUUAAAAUUAACAAUGAUGAUUCAAUUAUCUCAUAUAAUUGAAUCGAUCGACAUUCCUACACUCCAAAUCUAAUCAGCAUUUAAAAAAGAACUGAUCAAAGAUUAAACCAUCGAAGAACAACCAUCAAAGAUUCCCGUCAAUAACGUCAUCCGAAGGAGUAACCGUCGGAAGGAUUUAAAUUAACAAUACGACUACAUAUAUUAUUAGAAAAAUAUAUCUCUAAUUAUCUCUAAGUCCUUUAUCUCAUGUAUAUGAAAAACAAUCUUUUUAGUUUUUUCCCACCUUUUCUUAAACUUGUAUACUAUUUUAUAAAUAGAAAGAGUUGUAAACUAAAAAGAUAUAUAAUUUUGAAUGAAAAAUUUAAUUGUUCCAAAUUGAAUCUUGGAAUUUACUCUUCUCCCAUAAAAUCUGAUUUUUUAUCUUUCCAUCUUUUCUCUUUUAGUAGAAACAUACUACACUUCAAUAAUAUAUUGUUUAUACCGUUCUAGGACAGAUCCAGAUCAAAAAAGACAGAAAUCCUAUGUGACCUCACUCUUGUAAGUUGCGAUGAUCUCCUUACAUAGUCACAUAGAGAUGUAUGAUUAUCCACAUCAGAAGUAUUUUAAUAUAAGAAUUGAAAGCUUCCUAUAGAAUCUUGAUCCAAUCUCAAAUAUGAUUGAGAUGAAACGUUUUCCUUAACUUUAUUGAAUUAUAGACUAUGUAUUUAUAAUCUUGAUUACGAGACUAUUAGUUAUACUCACAAUGAAUUAACUUCCUAAUUACAACUAAUGUGACUUGGUACAACACUUCCGUACAAUAAAUAACAUGCAAAUGGUAAUGAACUAUUUUCUAAUGCUACAUUUAUUUUAAUGAUUGUAUAAAAAUCAAAGGGAACUAAAAUAAUCCUUAUGACUUAUGAACUAAAAUAAUUCCAGAAGGCCAGAACACCAGUCGUCCAACAUUUAAAAAAAAAAAUUUAAACUUGAUGAUUUUGACAAUUUGACGUGUUUUUUUUAUUGACCUUGAAUAAACUAAUAAGUAAUAAUAUAUUUGAUGGAUUCUCAAAUUAUCCAUCAAGACUUUAAGUGAUAACUGAUAACUGACGUGUGUGUUCUAACUUUUAAUGACAUCAAUUAAAAAAAAAAUCAAAAUUCCAAAAUUCCCAAUAAAAUAAAGCUUUAAAUGAUUGGAUUAGAAUCAUGGGUUGUUAAAAUUGGUCCAGGUAAGUAUCAUCGAGUGCUGUCUCAUUGACAGAUUCUUCGAUAACAAAACAUCUAUUUAAUAUUACCAAGUACCAACCAAAGACCAAAAUGGCAAAAGUCUUGAAAUUUUUAAUGACUCGACAGAAACCAGGGUGUUUCUUUCUAGGUUGGUUCCAUGAAUCCUCAGCGACAAUUCCUAAUUCAAUGAUACAACAAUCAUCAUCGGCUCCAAGCAACAACAAAAGUAUCCAAGGAAACAUCGAAGCUCCACUCUUCCUGUCUUCCUUUUAAGUAGUUCAAGUGAAUAGCGAUACAGACCUCUCUUCUAUCCUUUUCUUCCUCCUAUGGCAACGGCGGUACACUGGAGCUCCAAUGAUACAGACCAAAAAAAAGAUAACUCCAUCGUGGUUGUGGCUGUUUCAGGCAGACGGAGCCGUCGAGCCCUGCGAUGGGCAUCUGUGAAUCUCAUCCCACACGCCUCUCGUGUCAUCCUCAUACACGUUAUCCCUCCCAUAUCCAUCAUCCCAAAUUUUGGUAAGUUGGUAAGGAUUUCUAGCAGACUAGUAACAUAUUAACCCGAAUAUCUGACAUAUUUUCUGCUGCGCAGAUGGAGGAGAUAAAACGCCGAUGAAUGAGGCUGGUCUAGAUACACUGCGGUUGAUCAAGGAAAAUAGACUUGUUAAUGUGAGAAAGAAUCUUGGUUUGUUUCGGAAUCUCUGUCAAACUAGGAGGGAUGUGGAGAUGGAGGUGUUGGAAGGAGAAGAUCCAGCUGUGGAAGUGUUAAGGUACGUUGCCAUAUCGGGAUUCAAGAAUCUGGUCCUGGGUGCUUCUACUUUCACAUGGUUGACCAAAACGAUUAAAGGAAUGGAUGUCCCAAACACUGUGCUGAAAUCCAUUCCAGAAAGCUGCAAUUUGUUCGCUGUUUCGAGAUGGAAGGUUAUUUGCAAGUUGGCUGGACAGAAGCCUUUUGUUACAGAUCCAUCGUCAGAUAUACGGAAGGCUAGACUUAAUAUCUUCACGCAGAAAGAACGGAAUAGAACUUUGGACGAGCAAGAGACGAACCCGAGUUCUCUUGAAAUGGAUUCGGGCAAAAGUUCGUUAUCAGAGUGGUCGCAGCUCAAUCGUUUAACCUCUUUGGAUUCCGUUGUCAGCACGGAUAGCAAUGAUGCUUAUGGUCCUGCGCAUUCCCAUCGGAUUUCUGAUCUUGGGAUCUUGAUGACGGGGGGACAAUUCCACCCUAAUAAUUUGCAUCAAAAAUGGGGGGAAGAACCGCGAUUCCGAUCGCGAUCUAUGGAUGUCAUUCCAUCCGAUUUAGUAGAAGUUUCCCAAGAUGAUAUUAACUGGGAACUAGAGAAGCUAAGGUUAGAACUGAAGGUUACCUCGACAAAGUAUAAUCACGCCUGCAAGGAACUGAUCGUCGCCAAGAACAAGAUCGAAACACUCUCCGUCCAACGAUCGGAAGAAGCGACGAAGGCCAGAAUCGCCAUGGAAAGAGAAGAAGAAUUGAAAAAGAUCGCCGAAGAAGAGAGAUCUAAGAAUAUAGAAGCGAUGAAGGAAAUCAAAGAAACGAAACGAUUACUUGCUUUAUUUUCAGGUGAUGAAAACUGCAAACUAUACUCCAAGGAUGAGAUCAUCGCUGCUACUGAUGACUUCUCCGAUUCGAAAAAGAUCGGAUCCGGUGGUUACGGCAACGUCUACGGAUGCAUCCUUGACGACACUCCGGUAGCGAUCAAAG
This 3457-nucleotide long non-coding RNA is filed under the name Zostera marina. RNAcentral's name for it is "long non-coding RNA (ZMAR_LNC005172)". The record is from RNAcentral. Lineage: Eukaryota; Viridiplantae; Streptophyta; Magnoliopsida; Alismatales; Zosteraceae.